This 88-nucleotide transfer RNA is filed under the name Negativicoccus succinicivorans. It matches the Rfam family "tRNA". Rfam says of the family: Transfer RNA (tRNA) molecules are approximately 80 nucleotides in length. Their secondary structure includes four short double-helical elements and three loops (D, anti-codon, and T loops). Lineage: Bacteria; Bacillati; Bacillota; Negativicutes; Veillonellales; Veillonellaceae. The record is from Rfam by way of RNAcentral.
GGAGCGGUACUCAAGAGGCUGAAGAGGACGGUUUGCUAAAUCGUUAGACGGUUUACCCCGUGCGUGGGUUCGAAUCCCACCCGCUCCG